GAGAGUUAGCUUGAGUCGCGCAGGUGUGUAGAGAUCUUAGGAGUCAUGCAACAUCAAAGAGAGGAAACAGCUGAGAGAGAGAGAGAGAGAGAGAGAGAGAGAGAGAGAGAGAGAGAGAGAGAGAGAGAGAGAGAGAGAGAGAGAGACCAUACAAAUCCAUCAACAUUAACUAAAAAAAAAAAAAAAAAAUAAAAAAAAAACACUCUGAAUCUACAUACAUUUUUCCAUAGUCAGUUUCGAGACACUGAAUUUGCUAAACUAAAAUUCUGGAGUCUGGAAUGAAAGGAAGAGGAGGAGGAGGAGGAGGAAGAAGAAGAAGAAGAAGAAGAAGAAGAAGAAGAAGAGUGCCAUGGAAGGAAAGGGGGGAGGUGCGUGAGGAGGGGGAUGGGGGCGCUGUCUGGUUAGGGGUGGAGGAGGGACAGCCGCCUCAGUAACGUCUAGACACCGGCGCGUGAAGUAUCUGCGCUCCCCUCUCGUCUGUGUUUGCGCUUUUCUAACGGGAUCACAAAACCGCGUGCAGCUUGCUGCUCACUGUCCUCAACAUUCACUCUGUCACAAGGAAGCCAUUGGUGAUUUCAAGGACAGACAGACACACGUGUCUUGUUGAUGGGCGUGAUGCGCUGCCUGGCGGCGUGAGGGUGUGUGGUGGGCGGGGCGGGGCAUGGCGCCCACCGACCCUGGACACGUGCCGGGGACAGGCGUGGGGGGCGCCCUCGGAGGCACUGAGGGCCACCACGACGGUGGGUAGGAACACCUGCCUCCCUUCCGCCCCUGCUACUGCCCCUCCUCCUCUCGCUGUCUGUUCUCCCCGUGUGGAGGGCGGUGCUGCCCCUGCACGUACUGGUUCCGCACACCCUCGUGCCUCGCUCCGCCCACACACGCACACGCAAGGCGUCCCUCACACACUCGUUGCCAAAGCUUCUAAAAACAAUCACUACGACCUCUGCUUCCUGCCGGCGAGCAGAGUGCCGCCCCUCCCCCCUGACCGGUAGCCCCGCCCCACCCCGCCACUCCCGCACCCUGAGACGUGGCUAACUUCGGGCUUCGCGGGCUGCCGGGGUGGCCGCUGCCCCCGCCUCCCUUGAUCGAGGGCGUAGACCGGCGCACCCACCGUCAGGCCAAGAACUGGAAUGUCAAACACCAGCAGAGCCUCGAGGGGCAGCGGGAGCGC
Portunus trituberculatus (swimming crab) is the source of this 1171-nucleotide RNA transcript. RefSeq lists it as uncharacterized. The transcript has 2 exons. The record is from RefSeq and is a predicted model, not a curated record. Lineage: Eukaryota; Metazoa; Arthropoda; Malacostraca; Decapoda; Portunidae.